ACGAAGGGGGCUAGCGUUGUUCGGAUUUACUGGGCGUAAAGCGCACGUAGGCGGAUCGUUAAGUCAGGGGUGAAAUCCCAGGGCUCAACCCUGGAACUGCCUUUCAUACUGGCAAUCUCGAGUCCGAGAGAGGUGAGUGGAAUUCCGAGUGUAGAGGUGAAAUUCGUAGAUAUUCGGAGGAACACCAGUGGCGAAGGCGGCUCACUGGCUCGGUACUGACGCUGAGAUGCGAAAGCGUGGGGAGCAAACAGGA
This 253-nucleotide ribosomal RNA is filed under the name uncultured prokaryote. Its description in RNAcentral is "partial 16S ribosomal RNA". It matches the Rfam family "Bacterial small subunit ribosomal RNA", at positions 525 to 777 of the family's 1533-position model. The record is from RNAcentral.